Long non-coding RNA from Malus domestica (apple), 1599 nucleotides. RefSeq lists it as uncharacterized. The record is from RefSeq and is a predicted model, not a curated record. NCBI's taxonomy places the organism in Eukaryota, Viridiplantae, Streptophyta, Magnoliopsida, Rosales, Rosaceae.
UUUGCAAACAAAAUUGAAACUCAGAUUAAAAGAAAUCAUUAAGAAUGAUACUAAGUUAUUAACAUGAUCAAUGAGGAGUUGUAUUUUGAAAUACCUAAUUAAAAUUCCAACAAUCCCUCACAUAUUUCAAAUUACAAAUCCAAUCACCAAAAGGGAAUUUGAGUAACACAAGUUUAAAGAGGACAAUGAAGUACCAAAUGAGAGUGAGAAUCCAAUGCAUCAGAACUGAUGGUCACCAAUGGUCGCUGUUCUGCUUCCACCUCUGCUCAGAGUGAGCGGUCAAUCGCCAGUGCCACUACUACCGAGUCAGCCGCCGACGUGCUUUCGUCUGUGACAUUGCCCAGGUAGCCUAAACUGCUAGGCAACUCCACAGCAGUCGUCGCCACUAACCGCCCCCACCAUCCGCCUUGGUCACUUUCCACCCUUCCCAGGAUAGGGUAGAGACCAAAUCGAUGCCCGUGGAGGGAGUGGAGGAGGAAGGACACCUCCCUACGUACUGAGGAGUAAAAGGCUCGAGGCAUUUGUUAGGGCUUGAAGACGAACCGAAUCACCCGGACCACGCAAUAAAGGAUUCGGAUUGUAUACAUCCCUAACCACCGUCGAGCGAGUGCCAAUGUUAACAGUUUGUUGACUCAUGACUGCAGUGCCCCUCAUCUGCAACAAAUGCCCCAUGGACGCCGAAUCAUGGAUUAAGCCUAGGGGUGAGUUUUGUAAGGAGAUAAACCUCCAGGUUUUGAAAUUGCAAUCCAACUUCGACUGGAACAAGCAGGAUAAAGGUUGUGUCGAUUACAUCAAACAUGAGUGAAGCGGCUGGUACAAGGAAUCCAAGUAUGAGCUGCACAAGUACUACAAGACUUGUCUAACGCCUUAGGCAGCGCUGGCAAAACUACCCAAGGAGAUUGUGGAGAAGGUGCCAUGUGGGAGUGGCUGUGUACUCAUUUUGAGAGUGAAAAGUAUCAGAAAAAAUCGACGACAAAUAAAGGAAAUCAGGACAAGAAGUUGUAAGAUCACCACUCUAGUUCUCGACCCCUAUCUUACCGGGUCGAGGAAUGACGGGAAACUAGGGAGAAGUUCCCAGAAGUUGUGGUUUGGGUGGAGACGCAUGUGAAUUAUAGCAACGAGGUCACAGACGGAGUUUAUAUAAAAGAAGGACAAGUAACUUUCCAACCUUUCCUAGUAGCAUCUAGACAUGCCUAUAGAGGAGCUGACACUUGAGCCGGAGGUGUCUCUCCAGAUGCUGAUGGACGAGGUUGGACGAAGGAAGGGCAAGAAAGUUUGCAACCUAGGAGUAUGUCGGGUUUGGGAAGUCGGGUCUUCUUCUUCAUCCAGCUCUACUCCAUCGAUCGAGACUGAUUCCAGACUUCAGCAUAUGGAUAUGGAGCUGGUGCGCCAAAAGGAAUUAGUGUGCUUGUAUACUUCCUUGCCAUAUCCCAGUCUUAGUCAACUUCUGGGAUACCCGAGCUUGUGCAGCCAUACCAGAAGCCCCCUAGCAGCAGUAUCAGGAGCCGUCCUAAGAGCCGCCUCAGCAAUCACGGGACCCCCUAGCACACUAGUUUGCUAUUUCCUUUUUUUAAUUUUUCUAUAUUAUAAUUGUACGAA